Molecule: ribosomal RNA, 247 nt
Filed under: Salmonella enterica subsp. enterica serovar Give
Lineage: Bacteria; Pseudomonadati; Pseudomonadota; Gammaproteobacteria; Enterobacterales; Enterobacteriaceae
Description: partial 16S ribosomal RNA
Rfam family: Bacterial small subunit ribosomal RNA
Source: RNAcentral
ACAGGUGCUGCAUGGCUGUCGUCAGCUCGUGUUGUGAAAUGUUGGGUUAAGUCCCGCAACGAGCGCAACCCUUAUCCUUUGUUGCCAGCGGUCCGGCCGGGAACUCAAAGGAGACUGCCAGUGAUAAACUGGAGGAAGGUGGGGAUGACGUCAAGUCAUCAUGGCCCUUACGACCAGGGCUACACACGUGCUACAAUGGCGCAUACAAAGAGAAGCGACCUCGCGAGAGCAAGCGGACCUCAUAAAG